CCUAUUAUUUAAGAGCUUGACAUUGUAAGUAAAUAAUAAUUAUGAAAGCAAAAAAUUAUGGCGGUAUUUUAAGCUUUUCAGAGGAAUUUGCUCUUUAAUGGAUAAAACACCAAAAUCUUACUUAGAUUUGUGAUUUCAAUUUGUAUACCACUAUUAAAACAAUUUAUAACUUUAAUUGUUUAAAUUUACAAAACUAAAAUAUAUUAAGUCAAGGUGCAGUAAAAAUUUAAGGAUGAAGUGAAUUACAUUACUUUUUAGUGAGAUAAAUUUAUAACAAUAUUUAGGAUUUGAAAGUAAAAUUAAAAUAGGAUGUUAAUU
Molecule: ribosomal RNA, 318 nt
Filed under: Rhipicephalus sanguineus (brown dog tick)
Lineage: Eukaryota; Metazoa; Arthropoda; Arachnida; Ixodida; Ixodidae
Description: partial 12S ribosomal RNA
Source: RNAcentral